CCCGCACCUGGCUCCAUGGCGGAACCGGCCGGCGUGGAUUAUUCCCCUCUCGGGAGAGAGGUCUGCAGCCGGGCCUCAGUGCUUCAGUUCGUGGCCUGGCAUUUUGUCUGUAUCUUAAUUGUGGAUUAAGGUUGGAGUGCAGUGGCACUAUCAUGGCUUAGUCCAGCCUCAGCCUUCUAGGUUCAAGUAAUCUUCCCACCUCAGCCUCCCAAGAAGCUAGGACUACAGGGACCCACCACCACACCUAGCUAAUUAAAAAAAAAAAUUGUAGAGAUGGAGUCUCAGUGUGUAGCCCAGUCUCAAGUGACCCUCCCUCCUUGGCCUCCCAAAGUGCUGAGAUUGCUGGAAGAGUGUCUUCAUCUCUGCAUCCCUAGUGCAACAGAGCAUGAUAAAAAUUCAAUAAAUAUUUAUUGCAGAGUCUUGAUGUCUUUUGGGAAAGGAACUCUAUGGUUACCUUUACUCUAAGUUAAAAAACAACAACAACAACAAAAAAAAAACCCACAAAACCCUGAGGCUCAGAAGAUAAAUAUUUGCUGAAGAUCACUGUGCUUAUUAGAAGGGUGUUACUGAUUCUUACCUCAGAGAAGAGAAUGUCAUGGAGACAAAAUGACCUGCUUAGAGUUCUGCGCCCCCCAGCAUGGAGAGCAGAGCGCAAAGAUUUCCUCCAGACUCCCACAUUCUCCCUUGGAAUCCAAGAACUUGUCUACUAUCACAACACUUUAGUACCCACUUCUCCUAAGGAGGCAGCAGAAACCAAGGUAAUCACAAUGGUCAACAGCAGCGAAGGCAGCACUUUCUGA
This 800-nucleotide non-coding RNA is filed under the name Pongo abelii (Sumatran orangutan). Lineage: Eukaryota; Metazoa; Chordata; Mammalia; Primates; Hominidae. The record is from RNAcentral.